RNAcentral lists this ribosomal RNA (495 nucleotides) under uncultured bacterium. RNAcentral's name for it is "partial 16S ribosomal RNA". It matches the Rfam family "Bacterial small subunit ribosomal RNA", at positions 28 to 507 of the family's 1533-position model. The record is from RNAcentral.
GAUGAACGCUGGCGGCGUGCCUAAUACAUGCAAGUCGAGCGAACGGACGAGAAGCUUGCUUCUCUGAUGUUAGCGGCGGACGGGUGAGUAACACGUGGAUAACCUACCUAUAAGACUGGGAUAACUUCGGGAAACCGGAGCUAAUACCGGAUAAUAUUUUGAACCGCAUGGUUCAAAAGUGAAAGACGGUCUUGCUGUCACUUAUAGAUGGAUCCGCGCUGCAUUAGCUAGUUGGUAAGGUAACGGCUUACCAAGGCAACGAUGCAUAGCCGACCUGAGAGGGUGAUCGGCCACACUGGAACUGACACGGUCCAGGCUCCUACGGGAGGCAGCAGUAGGGAAUCUUCCGCAAUGGGCGAAAGCCUGACGGAGCAACGCCGCGUGAGUGAUGAAGGUCUUCGGAUCGUAAAACUCUGUUAUUAGGGAAGAACAUAUGUGUAAGUAACUGUGCACAUCUUGACGGUACCUAAUCAGAAAGCCACGGCUAACUACGUG